Molecule: ribosomal RNA, 669 nt
Filed under: uncultured bacterium
Lineage: Bacteria
Description: bacterial SSU rRNA
Rfam family: Bacterial small subunit ribosomal RNA
Source: RNAcentral
AGUCGAGGGGCAGCAUGAACUUAGCUUGCUAAGUUUGAUGGCGACCGGCGCACGGGUGAGUAACACGUAUCCAACCUGCCGAUGACUCGGGGAUAGCCUUUCGAAAGAAAGAUUAAUACCCGAUGGCAUAGUUCUUCCGCAUGGUAGAACUAUUAAAGAAUUUCGGUCAUCGAUGGGGAUGCGUUCCAUUAGGUUGUUGGCGGGGUAACGGCCCACCAAGCCUUCGAUGGAUAGGGGUUCUGAGAGGAAGGUCCCCCACAUUGGAACUGAGACACGGUCCAAACUCCUACGGGAGGCAGCAGUGAGGAAUAUUGGUCAAUGGACGAGAGUCUGAACCAGCCAAGUAGCGUGAAGGAUGACUGCCCUAUGGGUUGUAAACUUCUUUUAUACGGGAAUAAAGUGAGGCACGUGUGCCUUUUUGUAUGUACCGUAUGAAUAAGGAUCGGCUAACUCCGUGCCAGCAGCCGCGGUAAUACGGAGGAUCCGAGCGUUAUCCGGAUUUAUUGGGUUUAAAGGGAGCGUAGGCGGACGCUUAAGUCAGUUGUGAAAGUUUGCGGCUCAACCGUAAAAUUGCAGUUGAUACUGGGUGUCUUGAGUACAGUAGAGGCAGGCGGAAUUCGUGGUGUAGCGGUGAAAUGCUUAGAUAUCACGAAGAACUCCGAUUGCGAA